UGACAACAGGGCAACUUCCAAUACUUGCAAAGUAGAUAUUUCAUUUAAAGGAGGAAACACUAUGAAAAUGCAAAAGCAUUUGCUCACAAAACACGGGAUAACCUUAAAUGAAUGUCGUGUUUUUAAUUCCGCUCCGGACUCGUGAAUCUCAACCCAGCAGCAGCGGUAACGUUUGCACGUCCUCUCCCGUUAAUGCGGCAGGGCUGUUUGAUGACGAUUUGGACUCCUCUGGGAGAUGAGGACACACCCACAUCUGUUCAAUACUGCAGCCAUUGAUGGUGUUACGGCUCUGAGUCAGCUUUGGGCAUCAGACGCACACACUGGAAAACCAGCACCUGGACUUCAUGCAGGAGAGACGGCCUCAGUGAUGAUGGACUCUGCAUCCUCUACUUUACCUCCUAAUCUCUUUCUCCUUUAACACACAAUUAAAAUCAUUCCAAAAGCGUGUAAACUUACUGAGGAAGUCUCUAACUUGUAUACAUUUGUACUUUUACUUGCUUUAGGAGUUAUAUUUAAGAAGAGUAAAGUUAUUCACAAAAAGUCUUUAUUCUUCUGUAUUUAUUCUUUUGUAUUAUGUACCACAGUCAUACUGAACUUUACAGACCUGGUGAAUUGGAAAAAAAUCAUCUAUCUAUCUAUAUAUGUAUGUAUAUGUAUAUGUUUAUAUAUAUAUGAAUGAAUCAUUGAGCUUCAGCAGUAUUUCUAUUCAUCUUAUGAAUUCCAGUUGUAUAAAAGGCUCUGAGAUUUUAUGGCUAUGUUCUACAAUAUUGUGUGGGGUGGAGUCGCAGGAAAUUACGUAGGCAGAAGUUUGGGGUACAGCGCUGCUACUCCAGAAGGGGAGAUUGUCUUUCCGUUUUAGUUCUGUUUUACCUCGUCACGUAAGCUGUGUUCCUGGUUGCCAUCCUUUCUGCCCUUUCUGUGUUAGGAGCCAGAGAUGUAACAUUGGUAUUAUUCGAGUCAUAUGUUAUGUUAUGUAUAUAUUCAGAUGGAUGUGUUGGUUUAUUUCAUUUAAUAUUUUAUGUUUAUCUUAGUGGAGCUGUUGCUGUAUAUAUUUAUAUACUCAUGGCAAUUUGUUUGUUACUAUAGACUGCUGUCAACACUGAGCAUCUAGGUGGCAAUAAAACAGCUGGCGGUGAAAAUCCAGC
Oreochromis aureus is the source of this 1145-nucleotide long non-coding RNA. The record is from Ensembl. Lineage: Eukaryota; Metazoa; Chordata; Actinopteri; Cichliformes; Cichlidae.